RNAcentral lists this transfer RNA (77 nucleotides) under uncultured archaeon. RNAcentral's name for it is "tRNA-Arg(tct)". It matches the Rfam family "tRNA". Rfam says of the family: Transfer RNA (tRNA) molecules are approximately 80 nucleotides in length. Their secondary structure includes four short double-helical elements and three loops (D, anti-codon, and T loops). The record is from RNAcentral.
UGCCUGGAUAGCUCAGCCUGGAUAGAGCGACUGCCUUCUAAGCAGUAGGUCGUAGGUUCAAAUCCUACUCCGGGCGU